GUGGGUGGCAGGCGUUGUCCGGAAUUAUUGGGCGUAAAGCGCGCGCAGGCGGUUCUUUAAGUCUGAUGUGAAAGCCCACGGCUCAACCGUGGAGGGUCAUUGGAAACUGGAGAACUUGAGUACAGAAGAGGAAAGCGGAAUUCCACGUGUAGCGGUGAAAUGCGUAGAGAUGUGGAGGAACACCAGUGGCGAAGGCGGCUUUCUGGUCUGUAACUGACGCUGAGGCGCGAAAGCGUGGGGGAGCAAACAGGAUUAGAUACCCUGGUAGUCCACGCCGUAAACGAUGAGUGCUAAGUGUUAGGGGGUUUCCGCCCCUUAGUGCUGCAGCUAACGCAUUAAGCACUCCGCCUGGGAGUACGGCCGCAAGGCUG
This 371-nucleotide ribosomal RNA is filed under the name uncultured organism. Its description in RNAcentral is "partial 16S ribosomal RNA". It matches the Rfam family "Bacterial small subunit ribosomal RNA", at positions 527 to 896 of the family's 1533-position model. The record is from RNAcentral.